AUCAAUGAUGUAAACAAGUUUCAAUGAACAAAUGUGAUUUUAUAACAAUAUUCGUCACUACCUCUGAGAUU
This 71-nucleotide small nucleolar RNA is filed under the name Bombyx mori (domestic silkworm). RNAcentral's name for it is "C/D box snoRNA". The record is from RNAcentral. Lineage: Eukaryota; Metazoa; Arthropoda; Insecta; Lepidoptera; Bombycidae.